Small nuclear RNA from Trichosurus vulpecula (common brushtail), 130 nucleotides. The record is from RefSeq and is a predicted model, not a curated record. Lineage: Eukaryota; Metazoa; Chordata; Mammalia; Diprotodontia; Phalangeridae.
GCAUAAUACAAAAGGAGGAAAGUUUAGCACUUCACUUGAUAAGGAUGGAAUGGAUGACCUAUUUAGCUUUUAUACACACACACACACACAUGCACACACAUAUAAUAUACAUGUAUAUAUACAUGUGUGU